RNAcentral lists this ribosomal RNA (395 nucleotides) under uncultured bacterium. RNAcentral's name for it is "bacterial SSU rRNA". It matches the Rfam family "Bacterial small subunit ribosomal RNA", at positions 505 to 898 of the family's 1533-position model. The record is from RNAcentral.
GUGUCAGCAGCCGCGGUAAUACGAGGGGUGCAAGCGUUGCUCGGAAUUAUUGGGCGUAAAGGGUAGGUAGGUGGUCUCAUUUGUCUGGGGUGAAAGCCUUGAGCUUAACUCAAGAAGUGCCCUAGAAACGGUGAGACUGGAGUCUUGGAGAGGGUCGUGGAAUUCCCAGUGUAGCGGUGAAAUGCGUAGAGAUUGGGAGGAACACCAGCGGCGAAGGCGGCGACCUGGACAAGCACUGACACUCAACUACGAAAGCGUGGGUAGCAAACAGGAUUAGAUACCCUGGUAGUCCACGCUGUAAACGAUGGGUACUAGGUUUGGUGGGUCUUGACCCCCGCCGAACCGGAGCUAACGCGAUAAGUACCCCGCCUGGGAAGUACGGUCGCAAGACUAAA